This 490-nucleotide ribosomal RNA is filed under the name uncultured bacterium. RNAcentral describes it as "bacterial SSU rRNA". It matches the Rfam family "Bacterial small subunit ribosomal RNA", at positions 29 to 507 of the family's 1533-position model. The record is from RNAcentral.
AUGAACGCUGGCGGCGUGCUUAAACACAUGCAAGUCGAACGGAUUUACAUGAAGCCUAGCGAUUGUAAAGUUAGUGGCGGACGGGUGAGUAACGCGUGAAUAACCUGCCUUAUACUGGGGGACAACAAGUUGGAAAACGACUGCUAAUACCGCAUAAGCGCACUAAAGCUGCAUGGCUCAGUGUGAAAAAACUCCGGUGGUAUAAGAUGGAUUCGCGUCUGAUUAGCUAGAUGGUGAGGUAACGGCUCACCAUGGCGACGAUGUCUAGGGGUUCUGAGAGGAAGGUCCCCCACACUGGAACUGAGACACGGUCCAGACUCCUACGGGAGGCAGCAGUGAGGAAUAUUGGUCAAUGGUCUGACGACUGAACCAGCCAUGCCGCGUGAAGGUGACGGCCCUAUGGGUCUUAAACUUCUUUUGUAAGGGAGCAAUAAGGUCUACGUGUAGGCCGAUGAGAGUACCUUACGAAUAAGCAUCGGCUAACUCCGUG